ACAGCAGUAGCCACGGUAAUACGGAGGAUCCAAGCGUUAUCCGGAAUUAUUGGGUUUAAAGGGUGCGUAGGCGGCAUGCUAAGUCAGUGGUGAAAUCUCACAGCUUAACUGUGAAACUGCCAUUGAUACUGCAGGUCUUGAGUAAAUUUGAAGUGGCUGGAAUAAGUAGUGUAGCGGUGAAAUGCAUAGAUAUUACUUAGAACACCAAUUGCGAAGGCAGGUCACUAAGAUUUAACUGACGCUGAUGGACGAAAGCGUGGGGAGCGAACAGGAUUAGAUACCCCUGUAGUCCCUGUCUCUUAUAC
RNAcentral lists this ribosomal RNA (305 nucleotides) under uncultured bacterium. RNAcentral describes it as "partial 16S ribosomal RNA". It matches the Rfam family "Bacterial small subunit ribosomal RNA", at positions 505 to 807 of the family's 1533-position model. The record is from RNAcentral.